Molecule: ribosomal RNA, 460 nt
Filed under: uncultured bacterium
Lineage: Bacteria
Description: partial 16S ribosomal RNA
Rfam family: Bacterial small subunit ribosomal RNA
Source: RNAcentral
CCUACGGGUGGCAGCAGUGAGGAAUAUUGGUCAAUGGACGAGAGUCUGAACCAGCCAAGUAGCGUGAAGGAUGACUGCCCUAUGGGUUGUAAACUUCUUUUAUAAAGGAAUAAAACGAGGCACGUGUGCCUUUUUGCAUGUACUUUAUGAAUAAGGAUCGGCUAACUCCGUGCCAGCAGCCGCGGUAAUACGGAGGAUCCGAGCGUUAUCCGGAUUUAUUGGGUUUAAAGGGAGCGUAGAUGGGUUGUUAAGUCAGUUGUGAAAUUUUGCGGCUCAACCGUAAAAUUGCAAUUGAUACUGGCAGUCUUGAGUGCAGUUGAGGUAGGCGGAAUGCGUGGUGUAGCGGUGAAAUGCUUAGAUAUCACGAAGAACCCCGAUUGCGAAGGCAGCUUACUAAACUGUGACUGACAUUGAUGCUCGAAAGUGUGGGUAUCAAACAGGAUUAGAUACCCUUGUAGUC